CAGGGAUUGCUUGCACACUCGCUGACAUCUGCAGGUAAAGGUGAAAAUACAGCUGCUUUCAGUUAAAUAUUCAAGCCCAAAGAGCUGUGGUUUAAGAUCAUUCACCAGUCAGUGUUUAGUUCAGAUGUUUCAGCCUGUGAGCUUGGCCUUUGUACCUGCUCAAAUCUAACCACAAUGAAUCACAUCCAAAACACAGCAGCCUCAGGUUUUCUAACCAAAAAAGUAAAGUGAAUCCAUUAUCAAGUUAAGUAAAGCGUUUCUAUUUUUCAUUGCUUUAUUUCAUGAUGAGAAGUGACAGAGUUUUGACUGUGUAAAAAGAAAAUUACAGAAUGUCCAGAACUUUUGCACCAUUUAGGAGUCUUUAAUGAAUAUGAGUUUAUUAACCUUUGUCUUGAUUAGUUUAUUUGACUUGAAGUCUUUUCUCAUACUGAAAACCAGCAUUUCUCCAGUUUGAAGCCUGUUAGUUUAUAUGCUGCUCAAUCUAUAUGAUUGGUUAUUUAAGUCUGAAGGAAGAGGUCAGCCGCACAAAUACCUUCUCUUUGUGGCUAUUUUUUUUUUCAUUAUAGACAAUUCUUACAUUAUAGCCAAUUCUCUACCAGAAAUUAUCCAGGGACCAGAAAUUCAUGCUGAAGAGUUUCUGUCUGGUUGUAAAUUUUAUCUGUAAUUCUGUGAAUUAGUUCUAUGUCAAAUAAAAUGUCUUCAUAUGGUGAGGUAAAGGGGAAUUCUAACAGCAGGAAACAGACAAAGUUUUGCUUCAAAGGAUCAUGACAGCAACUAGAAUCCUAGUCAGUUGUGUGAGAAACCUCUCCAAUAGUUUAAAAUCAGAACCCCAUGUUCUUGUUUUGCAUACAGAUGUAUUUAGAUCAAAGGUGGAAAACUUUUUGGCUCCUCACGUUAGAACAACUUCCUGCUCUGAUAAAAACAGGAAUAAAACUCUUGAGUGGAAGUCAACAGUGCGGUCCUAAAAGUUUUGUCAAAGCACUGACUUGUGAAAAAAAAGUAAAGGGAAAACCACUGUUUAAACACUUAUGAAGGAAUAUGAAACGUCUUACAUGCAUUAGACUGAACUUCAGACUUCAGGGGUAAGAGGAAAAGUGUGACACUCGUAAAGAAAGACAGGGAGGAAAAAAUGAGAGAGCUUCUGUAAGUCUUUCCUGUCUGCCAUCCAUCCAUGGAUGAGGGAUGAGACCAUGCAGUCUGAUAAAUGAUACUCAAAGACUGGUACUGUCAUUAUGGGCACAGCACAUAAGUCAGUGAUGCCCUUUCAUUUGCUCCAUAUGUGGAAAAGUACCAGUUCUACUUGAAAAAUCUUAAGGUUAUUAUUAAAGUGCCAUUUAAUAAAUCCCUUCUACCUCUCUAUAGUCGCUAUGUUAAUAUAUAUUUAAACUAAUGCCAAUGGAUAUUUCAUCCUUUUUUCAAUGAUCUAAAUUUUUGUAAACUCAUUUUCAUCUCUUUUUUUAUGUCAAGCAAUUUUUAAGCCAAUAAAAGACUGAGUAAUUGAAGUUCUAACUAAUUCCAGUUUGAUUGACUUAUCUGGGACACAGAUAAUUAAUGAUCAGGCCCCGACCACCGAAAAUGAUAGGCCUAUUUAAAAUAAACUCUUACGGAAAAAGAAAAACUCCACAAAUUGCACGCUGUUGACCUAAGCAGAAGCUAAGAUCUCCGGCAGUUUCCAAAACACGCACUGGCUAAUGUCGAUAUAAUGAAGCGAGUAGAUAAAUAGUACAUCAGACGUUAUGAUCUCCGUGUCUGCAGUUGGUUCUGAGUGGUGUGCAGAUGUUCUCCGUUGUGCUUAGCUCACUCCAGUGCUGAAGUCAUAGUACAACCAAUCCCUUUAAUAUUUAUUUGGCUUCCCUUGGGGCCACCGUUGAGCCAUAACAUGAAAAAGCUCACUUCACUCUGCUAAAUAUUUUUAAAGUCAUCUUAACUUUGGGGGUUUCAUGGUCUGUCAAUGCUGCUUUUUUUAAGCCUGACUAAAUUUAGCUCUGUUGGAAAAAAUGAACAGGGCAACCUUUUCAUGUAUUCAUGUCAAUAAACAUAUGCACAUGUUAAAGGUUUGAGAGUGCCACCACCGCCUGAGGUGGACUAUCAGGAGCGUGCUUAGCAUAGCUGUGUGUUAUCAGACCAUGGUUUGAGUAUAAUGUCUGGACUUAACUCUGGACUGCUGUCAAGAGCCGUAAGAAACCUGAGCAAAAGAGGGCACAGGGUUUAUCUUACAGUAGCCCGAGCUUUGCUGCUAAUUAGAUGUAGAAACCUGGAGGGGAAUGGACCUCACUGCGGAAUGCAGUACAGGUGUUUGUCUGUGUUCGCAGACAUUUAAUGCCAUUUUAACGAGGGCUUCAUUCAGUAUGCCAAGAAACUGCAGCCCCUCAAAGAAUGGCUCUUUUCUUUGAAUGUUUGUUAUCUCUCUUGCUCUCUCUCCCUCUUUCUUUCUCUUUCUCUCUCUCUGUCUCAUACAUGCUCUCUCUGUCUUUCUCCUUCAUUUGUGGGUGUAUUGGUAAAUAGAAAUCCUUAUUUUUGCACCGUAGAAUAACAAUUACUUUUCAAUUCUACAAUAUUAACUAAUCUGCAUAAGAUAAAGGCAAGGGUUUAAUCUUGUUAUUUUUAAUUGUAUUUAAUUACACCUUUUUCAGUUUUCUCAUUUCUGGCACACUGGUAACAAUGGUUUGCACACACCAGACCCCUGAAUUUAAACUACCAGCUACAAACAAGGGCUACAAUGCGCAAGAAUAAAACAGGUGACAAUUGUCACACACUAAAGCCUUCUCCAUAUCAUGUUUUAAAAAAUUAUUGUCUGGCAUCCUCCUCUUACACCCUGCUUGUGUACUUUUCUGCCACUCCUGACUUCCCCCAUAAAUCACUGUUUGACUCUUGAUAACCAGUUUUAUAAUAUUACAUUUAAAAAUAAUAGACAACAAAACAUUAACCAUGAAUAAACAAGGAUGUAAAGUCGGGGAAAAAAAACUCACCUUUACAGACGGCACUGAUACCUGUCCAGGUACCAUUGUCCUGGCAGACUCUUGUGGCAGAACCAACAAGAUGGUAGCCCUGAGAGCAGGUGAAGUGAACCUCGUGUCCAACUAAAUACUUUGAGCCGAACUUGCUUCCAUAAGCUGGGGCCUCCAGGGAGGGGCAACUGGUGGUAGCUGUGAGGAGGGAAGAAAGACAGAAUGAGAGCAAGACAGGUCCUAUGUGGAGUACUGUAAGACUCCUGAACAUUGUCUUGCAUUCUUUGCCUGAGGGCAUACACAGAGAAAAGACUUCAUGAGGAAGAGAUGCUCCAUUAACAGUCAGUGAAUGGAGGGUCAACUCUUCCUGUGAAGCAGAAUAGCACCAGCAGCUAGGUCUAUGCUAUGGUUCACUAAGUUUCAUGCUUCUGUAGCAUGUAAUGUCAUUAAAUUAUAUAACAUUUUAUUGUAUUUUUAAGUCUGACUUUCUGUUUUCUCCAACUUCACUAAUGCUAUGUUAAAUUACAUUCAAAACAGUGUUUUCAUCUACAGCUUUUUAAAAUUUCCAUUGCCAGAAUCCGGUCACGUCCACUUCAAUUUAGCCUUAAUUAUACAAUUUCUGCCCAUUUCUUUAGAACAACAUUAUAUCCAUGGCAGACCUCCAGCCACAUAAGACAACUGCGGGUAGUAAUGGCAAAUAUUUGCACGAUGGAAAACAGUGUCCACAAGAGCAUGCAAAGCAGGUGGUGAUUGGUCUGCCUGGGGUAACUUGGAGACCGAGUUCUGCAACGCUGCCAACUUCGACUUCAUGAUCCUAAGACCUUCUGUAAAUCGCAUCUCUUGCCCUUUGAGAAAUUUCUCCAUUUGACGAAGAACCCCGACCACCUGGGACUUAUCCAUGCAGGUCUGUGAAUGCAACACAAGCGCUUCAACAUCACGGCAACAUCAAGAGGUAAAACAUCACACUGACUUGUGCUCUUCACACUGUUUUCUCCAAAUGCCAAAACUCCAGUUGUAGGCACAGCUGGACCAAAGCUGUCUGGCAGCUAUGAAAAAGACCCAAGUCCAGAAUGUUGUCCCUGUGUUUAAUUUUGUGUGGUGGUAGAAAAAGGGCAUAAAAUUAAUGUAAAAUCCUAAAAAAUGACUGAGUCAAUAACAGCACGAGUGCCACUGGCAGUAACUGCAGGGAGAAAUGCAUUAGAAAGUUCUUCAGAGAAUGGGCCUCGAUAAUCCUUUCAGCAAGGUUUAUUAAUCACAUGCUCAAUGGAACAUUUUCCUUUGUUAGGCAUACCUUAAAUUCCUGUACUGGCAUUUUGAGGGUUUUUUUUCCACAACACAAGUUUCACUACAUUGUACUCAGUUCUGUUCAACUGCCUUAGGCAGAAGGGAAAUGCCACCAACUGACCAAACAUGAAAGAAUUCAAUAAAGCAGUGGUUUACACUAUAUACCAUCACCAAAAAAACACUGACUCUACAAGUGCCAGUAUGACUAACACUAACAUACAAGCAGCACAGGCUUACUCUGUAAGGCUAAACAUAGAGAAGGAAGAAGAUCAUUUAUUCUUAAUAGGGUCAUAACUCUAGCCUUUAUAUCAGUCAAAGCCACACUGUACAAUGAGACAAAGAAAAUCAAUACAACAAAAUUGAACAAUUUUGACAAAUGUCAAAUGUGUGCCCAGAUUUAAAUGGAAAAGUUAAUUUAAUUGCAAAAACACAUUUCUUUUUUUUUUUUUUUUUUCCAAAGUUGAUGUCAGACCUUAGAGGAGGCAAAGAAGCAGGAUGAAACCAGGUGCUAAAGACAUCUCCUAGAAUAAAUUAUCUGACGGAAAGAUUACUUGCAGAAGUGUUUAGACACUUGGGUUAUAUAGAGAGAUAAAGCUGUAGUAUUAUCCAUGAAUAAAUACAUUUAUUUGUCUCAGAACCUUUUUAAUUUCCCUUGUGCAACCUCUAUAUUUUACUAUUAACUCAGGGAAUCACUUGAUUCUGACAGGAAUCAGCUUCCAUGCAUACCACUGGAGGCAGCAAACGUACCACUUGUGAUACAUGUACCAUACUUUGAGAACCACUGAAUUUGUAACUCUAUGUAAUGACCAUUAAACUCACAAGCCUAGAUGAUGAACUGGUGCAUCACAAAAGUCUAAGUGAACGUAUGAUUAUUUAUAUAUGAAAUACAUGUUAACAAGCAGAUAUGGUUAUAGUCCAGCUAAAUGAAUUUUGAUGCAGUCAAACACUUAAAUGUCACAGUUUCCUUACUAUUAAAUGUCGCUGGACAAAGUGUCAACUAAAA
Cynoglossus semilaevis (tongue sole) is the source of this 5235-nucleotide long non-coding RNA. RefSeq lists it as uncharacterized. The transcript has 4 exons. The record is from RefSeq and is a predicted model, not a curated record. NCBI's taxonomy places the organism in Eukaryota, Metazoa, Chordata, Actinopteri, Pleuronectiformes, Cynoglossidae.